CACACGACUCUCGGCAACGGAUAUCUCGGCUCUCGCAUCGAUGAAGAACGUAGCAAAAUGCGAUGCCUGGUGUGAAUUGCAGAAUCCCGUGAACCGUCAAGUUUUUGAACGCAAGUUGCGCCCAAGGCCUUCUGGUUGAGGGCACGUCUGCCUGGGCGUCACAC
This 164-nucleotide ribosomal RNA is filed under the name Hordeum patagonicum subsp. patagonicum. RNAcentral describes it as "5.8S ribosomal RNA". It matches the Rfam family "5.8S ribosomal RNA". From Rfam's summary of the family: 5.8S ribosomal RNA (5.8S rRNA) is a component of the large subunit of the eukaryotic ribosome. It is transcribed by RNA polymerase I as part of the 45S precursor that also contains 18S and 28S rRNA. Functionally, it is thought that 5.8S rRNA may be involved in ribosome translocation. The record is from RNAcentral. Lineage: Eukaryota; Viridiplantae; Streptophyta; Magnoliopsida; Poales; Poaceae. RNAcentral also lists the same sequence under 1 other name.